RNAcentral lists this ribosomal RNA (425 nucleotides) under uncultured eukaryote. RNAcentral's name for it is "bacterial SSU rRNA". It matches the Rfam family "Eukaryotic small subunit ribosomal RNA", at positions 592 to 1018 of the family's 1831-position model. The record is from RNAcentral.
CAAUAGCGUAUAUUAAAGUUGUUGCAGUUAAAAAGCUCGUAGUCGGAUUUUGGCAUCACGCCGAACUGUCUGCCGAUUGGUAAGUACGGUUUGGCGGGUGCUCUCCUUCCGGAGGCUCGUUCCCUUCUUAACUGAAGGGUUCGUUGGUUCCGGGUCUUUUACUUUGAAAAAUUAGAGUGUUCAAAGCAGGCCUAUGCUCUGAAUAGGUUAGCAUGGAAUAAUAGAAUAGGACUUUGGUUCUAUUUUGUUGGUUUCUAGGACCGAAGUAAUGAUUAAUAGGGACAGUUGGGGGCAUCAGUAUUCUGAAGCGAGAGGUGAAAUUCUUGGACCUUCGGAAGACUAACAACUGCGAAAGCAUUUGCCUAGGAUGUUCUCUUUAAUUCAAGAACGAAAGUUAGGGGGAGUCGAAGACGAUUAGAUACCAU